GUUUUGGAGGAGUUUAGCGGGAGAUUGGCAGGAAAAGCUGUGGGGAGACACACAAGGCAAGAAUAAGAAAUGAUGCUACAUCAUGAUAUAGGGUCAUCCUGAUGGAGCUUCUAAGAAAAAUAUCAAAUGGCAACUAGAUGAAGCCAGAUGCUGGGAAGAGACCCAGCACUUCAAGUGCUGCUGUUGCAACCAUUAUCCUCAGAGGCUCAGCAAAAUACAGGAGGAGGAAGAGGAAGAAGAAGGAAGAGGAAAAAGAAGAUAAUUGGGCACCUACCAACACCAACUAGCAGUAACCAUGCAAAACUAUAUAAUUUGCUCUCGCACCCCCCACAACGUUCCCACCACACACCCUGGUAUCUUUCCUCCCAUAUCUAUCACUUUCCCCAUCACUCUCCAAAUUGACUCUAGCUCUAUCGCUAACAUUUACCACCUGGGGAUACUGUUGGACCUAGAACUAUCCCUGGGUUCCAAGGCAGAUAUUGUGCCCCAGAAUUGUUACCAGCAUUCCUGACUUUGCCGGUUGCACUCACUGCUAGAGAAUCACAGAGCCAUAGAAAUUUAGAGUUUGCUGCUCUAAAGUUUGCUGCCCCUGCUCAGUGCAGCAAACUGCUACAUUAUCCUUGACAGAUACCUAGAUCCUUUUCACAAACUGGGUCUCCCCAAUCCUAUAUAUGCGCAUUUGGUUUUGCUUUUGCUUUUACUUAAAUGCGGGACUUUA
Molecule: long non-coding RNA, 718 nt
Organism: Hemicordylus capensis (graceful crag lizard)
Lineage: Eukaryota; Metazoa; Chordata; Lepidosauria; Squamata; Cordylidae
Exons: 2
Source: RefSeq, a predicted model, not a curated record